This 294-nucleotide unclassified non-coding RNA is filed under the name Basidiomycota sp. RNAcentral describes it as "partial contains small subunit ribosomal RNA, internal transcribed spacer 1, and 5.8S ribosomal RNA". The stretch from base 1 to 47 matches the Rfam family "Eukaryotic small subunit ribosomal RNA", at positions 1785 to 1831 of the family's 1831-position model. The record is from RNAcentral. Lineage: Eukaryota; Fungi; Basidiomycota.
AAAGUCGUAACAAGGUUUCCGUAGGUGAACCUGCGGAAGGAUCAUUAAUGAACUUGUGGUUGUUGCUGGCUAGUGUCUCUAGCAUGUGCACACGCACCUUCAUCCCACUUUACACCUGUGCACCUUUUGUAGUAAUGGGUUGUUGAAAAAAAGGUCUGGUCUUUUUGUAGACUAGCCUUUGGAUCCAUCCCCUACUACGUUUUUUUAUACACACACGAAAUAGUCAUUGAAUGUCCAUUUGAUUUUAUAUUGAAAAUUAAAAAACAACUUUCAACAACGGAUCUCUUGGCUCUC